Molecule: small nucleolar RNA, 107 nt
Filed under: Gossypium hirsutum (cotton)
Lineage: Eukaryota; Viridiplantae; Streptophyta; Magnoliopsida; Malvales; Malvaceae
Also listed under: 1 other name
Description: Plant small nucleolar RNA R71
Rfam family: Plant small nucleolar RNA R71
About the family: R71 is a member of the C/D box family of snoRNAs containing the C (UGAUGA) and D (CUGA) box motifs. Multiple nearly identical copies of this snoRNA have been identified in Arabidopsis, and it is thought to function as a 2'-O-ribose methylation guide for 18S ribosomal RNA.
Source: Rfam by way of RNAcentral
AUUCUAUGAUGAGGGAAUUUUCGUAGCAGUUCUUUAAACCUUUCCAACGUCUUGUACAAGGACUCAUCAUCCAUCUGUUGAAAGGUAGUGAUCUCAUUCCGCAACUU